CCUACGGGAGGCAGCAGUGAGGAAUAUUGGUCAAUGGGCGGGAGCCUGAACCAGCCAAGUCGCGUGAGGGAAGAAGGUACUGCGUAUUGUAAACCUCUUUUGCCAGGGGACAACGGCGGCCACGGGUGGACGUAAGCGGGUACCUGGAGAAAAAGCAUCGGCUAACUCCGUGCCAGCAGCCGCGGUAAUACGGAGGAUGCGAGCGUUAUCCGGAUUUAUUGGGUUUAAAGGGUGCGCAGGCGGAUUUUUAAGUCAGCGGUCAAAUCGUGGGGCUCAACCCCAUCCAGCAGUUGAAACUGGGGAUCUAGAGUGUGCGAGAGGUAGGGGGAAUGCGUGGUGUAGCGGUGAAAUGCAUAGAUAUCACGCAGAACCCCGAUUGCGAAGGCAGCAUACCGGUGCACAACUGACGCUGAGGCACGAAAGCGUGGGUAUCGAACAGGAUUAGAUACCCGUGUAGUC
This 459-nucleotide ribosomal RNA is filed under the name uncultured bacterium. RNAcentral describes it as "partial 16S ribosomal RNA". It matches the Rfam family "Bacterial small subunit ribosomal RNA", at positions 338 to 795 of the family's 1533-position model. The record is from RNAcentral.